UUAAGUGACUAAGCGUACACGGUGGAUGCCUAGGCAGUCAGAGGCGAUGAAGGGCGUGCUAAUCUGCGAAAAGCGUCGGUAAGGUGAUAUGAACCGUUAUAACCGGCGAUACCCGAAUGGGGAAACCCAGUGUGUUUCGACACACUAUCAUGUCAUGAAUACAUAGUGGCAUGAGGCGAACCGGGGGAACUGAAACAUCUAAGUACCCCGAGGAAAAGAAAUCAACCGAGAUUCCCCCAGUAGCGGCGAGCGAACGGGGAGGAGCCCAGAACCUGAAUCGGCUUGUGUGUUAGUGGAAGCGUCUGGAAAGUCGCGCAGCAAAGGGUGAUAGCCCCGUACACUAAAAUGCACAGGUCGUGAGUUCGAUGAGUAGGGCGGGACACGUGACAUCCUGUCUGAAUAUGGGGGGACCAUCCUCCAAGGCUAAAUACUCCUGACUGACCGAUAGUGAACCAGUACCGUGAGGGAAAGGCGAAAAGAACCCCGGCGAGGGGAGUGAAAUAGAACCUGAAACCGUGUACGUACAAGCAGUGGGAGCACCUUCGUGGUGUGACUGCGUACCUUUUGUAUAAUGGGUCAGCGACUUAUAUUUUGUAGCAAGGUUAACCGUAUAGGGGAGCCGUAGGGAAACCGAGUCUUAACUGGGCGAAUAGUUGCAAGGUAUAGACCCGAAACCCGGUGAUCUAGCCAUGGGCAGGUUGAAGGUUGGGUAACACUAACUGGAGGACCGAACCGACUAAUGUUGAAAAAUUAGCGGAUGACUUGUGGCUGGGGGUGAAAGGCCAAUCAAACCGGGAGAUAGCUGGUUCUCCCCGAAAGCUAUUUAGGUAGCGCCUCGUGAACUCAUCUUCGGGGGUAGAGCACUGUUUCGGCUAGGGGGCCAUCCCGGCUUACCAAACCGAUGCAAACUCCGAAUACCGAAGAAUGUUAUCACGGGAGACACACGGCGGGUGCUAACGUCCGUCGUGAAGAGGGAAACAACCCAGACCGCCAGCUAAGGUCCCAAAGUCAUGGUUAAGUGGGAAACGAUGUGGGAAGGCACAGACAGCCAGGAUGUUGGCUUAGAAGCAGCCAUCAUUUAAAGAAAGCGUAAUAGCUCACUGGUCGAGUCGGCCUGCGCGGAAGAUGUAACGGGGCUAAACCAUGCACCGAAGCUGCGGCAGCGACGCUUAGGCGUUGUUGGGUAGGGGAGCGUUCUGUAAGCCGUUGAAGGUGGCCUGUGAGGGUUGCUGGAGGUAUCAGAAGUGCGAAUGCUGACAUAAGUAACGAUAAAGCGGGUGAAAAGCCCGCUCGCCGGAAGACCAAGGGUUCCUGUCCAACGUUAAUCGGGGCAGGGUGAGUCGACCCCUAAGGCGAGGCUGAAAAGCGUAGUCGAUGGGAAACAGGUUAAUAUUCCUGUACUUGGUGUUACUGCGAAGGGGGGACGGAGAAGGCUAGGCUGGCCGGGCGACGGUUGUCCCGGUUUAAGCGUGUAGGGGGUGUGACCUGGUAAAUCCGGUUGCAUAUCAACCCUGAGGCGUGAUGACGAUGCACUACGGUGCAGAAGUAGUUGAUGCCCUGCUUCCAGGAAAAUCCUCUAAGCUCCAGGUAACAUUGAAUCGUACCCCAAACCGACACAGGUGGUCAGGUAGAGAAUACCAAGGCGCUUGAGAGAACUCGGGUGAAGGAACUAGGCAAAAUGGUGCCGUAACUUCGGGAGAAGGCACGCUGGCAUGUAGGUGAAGUCCCUUGCGGAUGGAGCUGAAGCCAGUCGAAGAUACCAGCUGGCUGCAACUGUUUAAUAAAAACACAGCACUGUGCAAACACGAAAGUGGACGUAUACGGUGUGACGCCUGCCCGGUGCUGGAAGGUUAAUUGAUGGGGUCAGCCGCAAGGCGAAGCUCUUGAUCGAAGCCCCAGUAAACGGCGGCCGUAACUAUAACGGUCCUAAGGUAGCGAAAUUCCUUGUCGGGUAAGUUCCGACCUGCACGAAUGGCGUAAUGAUGGCCAGGCUGUCUCCACCCGAGACUCAGUGAAAUUGAACUCGCUGUGAAGAUGCAGUGUACCCGCGGCAAGACGGAAAGACCCCGUGAACCUUUACUAUAGCUUGACACUGAACAUUGAGCCUUGAUGUGUAGGAUAGGUGGGAGGCUUUGAAGCGUGGACGCCAGUCUGCGUGGAGCCAUCCUUGAAAUACCACCCUUUAAUGUUUGAUGUUCUAACUCUGCCCCGUGAUCCGGGGUGAGGACAGUGUCUGGUGGGUAGUUUGACUGGGGCGGUCUCCUCCCAAAGAGUAACGGAGGAGCACGAAGGUUAGCUAAUCACGGUCGGACAUCGUGAGGUUAGUGCAAAGGCAUAAGCUAGCUUGACUGCGAGAGUGACGGCUCGAGCAGGUACGAAAGUAGGUCUUAGUGAUCCGGUGGUUCUGAAUGGAAGGGCCAUCGCUCAACGGAUAAAAGGUACUCCGGGGAUAACAGGCUGAUACCGCCCAAGAGUUCAUAUCGACGGCGGUGUUUGGCACCUCGAUGUCGGCUCAUCACAUCCUGGGGCUGAAGUAGGUCCCAAGGGUAUGGCUGUUCGCCAUUUAAAGUGGUACGCGAGCUGGGUUUAGAACGUCGUGAGACAGUUCGGUCCCUAUCUGCCGUGGGCGUUGGAAGAUUGAGAGGGGUUGCUCCUAGUACGAGAGGACCGGAGUGAACGCACCACUGGUGUUCGGGUUGUCAUGCCAAUGGCAUUGCCCGGUAGCUAAGUGCGGAAAAGAUAAGCGCUGAAAGCAUCUAAGCGCGAAACUUGCCUCAAGAUGAGUCUUCCCUUGGACUUUGAGUCCACUGAAGGAACGUUUAAGACUAAGACGUUGAUAGGCUGGGUGUGUAAGUGCAGCGAUGCAUUGAGCUAACCAGUACUAAUGAUCCGUGAGGCUUAACCU
Molecule: ribosomal RNA, 2905 nt
Filed under: Serratia marcescens
Lineage: Bacteria; Pseudomonadati; Pseudomonadota; Gammaproteobacteria; Enterobacterales; Yersiniaceae
Description: 23S ribosomal RNA
Rfam family: Bacterial large subunit ribosomal RNA
Source: RNAcentral